This 1114-nucleotide ribosomal RNA is filed under the name Vibrio parahaemolyticus. RNAcentral describes it as "bacterial SSU rRNA". It matches the Rfam family "Bacterial small subunit ribosomal RNA", at positions 1 to 1094 of the family's 1533-position model. Lineage: Bacteria; Pseudomonadati; Pseudomonadota; Gammaproteobacteria; Vibrionales; Vibrionaceae. The record is from RNAcentral.
AAAUUGAAGAGUUUGAUCAUGGCUCAGAUUGAACGCUGGCGGCAGGCCUAACACAUGCAAGUCGAGCGGAAACGAGUUAUCAGAACCUUCGGGGGACGAUAACGGCGUCGAGCGGCGGACGGGUGAGUAAUGCCUAGGAAAUUGCCCUGAUGUGGGGGAUAACCAUUGGAAACGAUGGCUAAUACCGCAUGAUGCCUACGGGCCAAAGAGGGGGACCUUCGGGCCUCUCGCGUCAGGAUAUGCCUAGGUGGGAUUAGCUAGUUGGUGAGGUAAGGGCUCACCAAGGCGACGAUCCCUAGCUGGUCUGAGAGGAUGAUCAGCCACACUGGAACUGAGACACGGUCCAGACUCCUACGGGAGGCAGCAGUGGGGAAUAUUGCACAAUGGGCGCAAGCCUGAUGCAGCCAUGCCGCGUGUGUGAAGAAGGCCUUCGGGUUGUAAAGCACUUUCAGUCGUGAGGAAGGUAGUGUAGUUAAUAGCUGCAUUAUUUGACGUUAGCGACAGAAGAAGCACCGGCUAACUCCGUGCCAGCAGCCGCGGUAAUACGGAGGGUGCGAGCGUUAAUCGGAAUUACUGGGCGUAAAGCGCAUGCAGGUGGUUUGUUAAGUCAGAUGUGAAAGCCCGGGGCUCAACCUCGGAAUUGCAUUUGAAACUGGCAGACUAGAGUACUGUAGAGGGGGGUAGAAUUUCAGGUGUAGCGGUGAAAUGCGUAGAGAUCUGAAGGAAUACCGGUGGCGAAGGCGGCCCCCUGGACAGAUACUGACACUCAGAUGCGAAAGCGUGGGGAGCAAACAGGAUUAGAUACCCUGGUAGUCCACGCCGUAAACGAUGUCUACUUGGAGGUUGUGGCCUUGAGCCGUGGCUUUCGGAGCUAACGCGUUAAGUAGACCGCCUGGGGAGUACGGUCGCAAGAUUAAAACUCAAAUGAAUUGACGGGGGCCCGCACAAGCGGUGGAGCAUGUGGUUUAAUUCGAUGCAACGCGAAGAACCUUACCUACUCUUGACAUCCAGAGAACUUUCCAGAGAUGGAUUGGUGCCUUCGGGAACUCUGAGACAGGUGCUGCAUGGCUGUCGUCAGCUCGUGUUGUGAAAUGUUGGGUUAAGUCCCGCAACG